UCCCUAGUGGCUCAGAGGUUAAAGUGUCUGCCUCCAAUGCGGGAGACCCAGGUUCAAUCCCUGGGUUGGGAA
Molecule: transfer RNA, 72 nt
Filed under: Ovis aries (sheep)
Lineage: Eukaryota; Metazoa; Chordata; Mammalia; Artiodactyla; Bovidae
Rfam family: tRNA
About the family: Transfer RNA (tRNA) molecules are approximately 80 nucleotides in length.
Source: Rfam by way of RNAcentral